This 496-nucleotide ribosomal RNA is filed under the name uncultured bacterium. RNAcentral describes it as "partial 16S ribosomal RNA". It matches the Rfam family "Bacterial small subunit ribosomal RNA", at positions 29 to 522 of the family's 1533-position model. The record is from RNAcentral.
UUGAACGCUGGCGGCAGGCCUAACACAUGCAAGUCGAGCGGCAGCGCGGGGCAACCUGGCGGCGAGCGGCGGACGGGUGAGUAACGCGUAGGAAUCUACCCAGUAGCGGGGGAUAGCCCGGGGAAACUCGGAUUAAUACCGCAUACGCCCUAAGGGGGAAAGCAGGGGAUCUUCGGACCUUGCACUAUUGGCAGAGCCUGCGUUGGAUUAGCUAGUUGGUAGGGUAAAGGCCUACCAAGGCAACGAUCCAUCACUGGUCUGAGAGGAUGAUCAGUCACACCGGAACUGGGACACGAGCCGGACUCCUACGGGAGGCAGCAGUGGGGAAUAUUGGACAAUGGGGGCAGCCCUGAUCCAGCCAUGCCGCGUGUGUGAAGAAGGCCUUCGGGUUGUAAAGCACUUUAAGUGGGGAGAAAGGUUCGGCUGUUAAUACCUGCCGGAAGUGAUGUUACCCACAGAAUAAGCACCGGCUAACUCUGUGCCAGCAGCCGCCGUA